CCUACGGGCGGCAGCAGUGGGGAAUAUUGGACAAUGGGGGGAACCCUGAUCCAGCCAUGCCGCGUGUGUGAAGAAGGCCCUCGGGUUGUAAAGCACUUUCAGUGAGGAAGAACGCCUGGUGGUUAAUACCCAUCAGGAAAGACAUCACUCACAGAAGAAGCACCGGCUAACUCCGUGCCAGCAGCCGCGGUAAUACGGAGGGUGCGAGCGUUAAUCGGAAUUACUGGGCGUAAAGCGCGCGUAGGUGGCUUGAUAAGCCGGUUGUGAAAGCCCCGGGCUCAACCUGGGAACGGCAUCCGGAACUGUCAAGCUGGAGUGCAGGAGAGGAAGGUAGAAUUCCCGGUGUAGCGGUGAAAUGCGUAGAGAUCGGGAGGAAUACCAGUGGCGAAGGCGGCCUUCUGGACUGACACUGACACUGAGGUGCGAAAGCGUGGGUAGCAAACAGGAUUAGAUACCCUAGUAGUC
RNAcentral lists this ribosomal RNA (465 nucleotides) under Vreelandella stevensii. RNAcentral describes it as "partial 16S ribosomal RNA". It matches the Rfam family "Bacterial small subunit ribosomal RNA", at positions 338 to 795 of the family's 1533-position model. Lineage: Bacteria; Pseudomonadati; Pseudomonadota; Gammaproteobacteria; Oceanospirillales; Halomonadaceae. The record is from RNAcentral.